This 67-nucleotide transfer RNA is filed under the name Brachypterolus vestitus. Its description in RNAcentral is "tRNA-Ser". The record is from RNAcentral. Lineage: Eukaryota; Metazoa; Arthropoda; Insecta; Coleoptera; Kateretidae.
GAGACAUGAAAUUCAAAAAUAAGCUUCUAACUUAACUUUUAAGCAGUGUAAUUCUGUUUAUGUCUCU